RNAcentral lists this transfer-messenger RNA (276 nucleotides) under Selenomonadales bacterium. It matches the Rfam family "transfer-messenger RNA", at positions 79 to 374 of the family's 374-position model. Rfam says of the family: Bacterial tmRNA, also known as 10Sa RNA or SsrA, is named for its dual tRNA and mRNA-like properties. Its role is to liberate the mRNA from a stalled ribosome. To accomplish this part of the tmRNA is used as a reading frame that ends in a translation stop signal. Lineage: Bacteria; Bacillati; Bacillota; Negativicutes; Selenomonadales. The record is from Rfam by way of RNAcentral.
AAAAACAAAACAAACGCAAACGAACGUUUCGCGUUCGCUGCCUAGAUAGGUAGCCGUCGGCCCGCACUUUUCCUGCGAGGGCGGUCACCGGCGUCAUGAAAGCAGGAGUAGUGUUACUAAGCGCCUAGUAAGUAACGCGAAAAUAAUAGGCUAGCGACAUCCUGAGCCUGUCGGAGGGCGCAGGAAAGGGCGAAUCACCAAAUCACCGACUGCACUCGGAGAAGCCCUGAUCAGCAUGCCUUCGGACGGUGGGUUCAACUCCCCCCGCCUCCACCA